RNAcentral lists this ribosomal RNA (116 nucleotides) under Candidatus Iainarchaeum sp. The record is from RNAcentral. Lineage: Archaea; Nanobdellati; Candidatus Iainarchaeota; Candidatus Iainarchaeia; Candidatus Iainarchaeales; Candidatus Iainarchaeaceae.
AUUAGCGGUCAUAUCGCAAGGGCAAUACCUGGACCCAUUCCGAACCCAGAAGUUAAACCUUGCAGAGUAUGAUAAAAACUGCGUUAACGCGUGGAGUUUAUCGAAAGCUGCUAAUC